GGCGAACGGGUGAGUAAUAUAUCGGAACGUGUCCAAUAAUGGGGGAUAACGAGUCGAAAGAUUCGCUAAUACCGCAUACGCCCUACGGGGGAAAGCAGGGGAUCGUAAGACCUUGCGUUAAUGGAGCGGCCGAUAUCUGAUUAGCUAGUUGGUGAGGUAAAGGCUCACCAAGGCGACGAUCAGUAGCUGGUUUGAGAGAACGACCAGCCACACUGGAACUGAGACACGGUCCAGACUCCUACGGGAGGCAGCAGUGGGGAAUUUUGGACAAUGGGGGCAACCCUGAUCCAGCCAUUCCGCGUGAGUGAAGAAGGCCUUCGGGUUGUAAAGCUCUUUCGCAAGGGAAGAAAACUUAUGAUCGAAUAAAUCAUGAGGUUGACGGUACCUUGAUAAGAAGCACCGGCUAACUACGUGCCAGCAGCCGCGGUAAUACGUAGGGUGCGAGCGUUAAUCGGAAUUACUGGGCGUAAAGCGUGCGCAGGCGGUUUUGUAAGUCGGAUGUGAAAUCCCCGGGCUCAACCUGGGAACUGCGUUCGAAACUGCAAGGCUAGAGUGUGUCAGAGGGGGGUAGAAUUCCACGUGUAGCAGUGAAAUGCGUAGAGAUGUGGAGGAAUACCAAUGGC
Molecule: ribosomal RNA, 623 nt
Filed under: uncultured Methylophilaceae bacterium
Lineage: Bacteria; Pseudomonadati; Pseudomonadota; Betaproteobacteria; Nitrosomonadales; Methylophilaceae
Description: bacterial SSU rRNA
Rfam family: Bacterial small subunit ribosomal RNA
Source: RNAcentral